Molecule: ribosomal RNA, 206 nt
Filed under: uncultured bacterium
Lineage: Bacteria
Description: partial 16S ribosomal RNA
Rfam family: Bacterial small subunit ribosomal RNA
Source: RNAcentral
UGUGUAGGUGGUUAGAUAAGUUAGAUGUGAAAUCCCCGGGCUUAACCUGGGCACUGCGUUUAAGACUGUUUAACUAGAGUACUGUAGAGGAUAGUGGAAUUUCCAGUGUAGCGGUGAAAUGCGUAGAUAUUGGAAGGAACACCAGUGGCGAAGGCGACUAUCUGGACAGAUACUGACACUGAGACACGAAAGCGUGGGAGCAAACA